UACGGAGGGUGCAAGCGUUAUCCGGAAUCACUGGGUUUAAAGGGUGCGUAGGCGGCUUAGUAAGUCAGUGGUGAAAGGCUGUGGCUUAACCAUGGAAUUGCCAUUGAUACUGCUGAGCUUGAAUAAGGUUGAGGUUGGCGGAAUGUGACAUGUAGCGGUGAAAUGCUUAGAUAUGUCAUGGAACACCGAUUGCGAAGGCAGCUGACUGGACCUGCAUUGACGCUGAGGCACGAAAGCGUGGGGAGCAAAC
Molecule: ribosomal RNA, 250 nt
Filed under: uncultured bacterium
Lineage: Bacteria
Description: partial 16S ribosomal RNA
Rfam family: Bacterial small subunit ribosomal RNA
Source: RNAcentral